This 357-nucleotide ribosomal RNA is filed under the name uncultured bacterium. RNAcentral describes it as "partial 16S ribosomal RNA". It matches the Rfam family "Bacterial small subunit ribosomal RNA", at positions 338 to 692 of the family's 1533-position model. The record is from RNAcentral.
CCUACGUGUGGCAGCAGUGAGGAAUAUUGGUCAAUGGGCGUAAGCCUGAACCAGCCAAGUCGCGUGAGGGAUGAAGGUUCUAUGGAUCGUAAACCUCUUUUAUAAGGGAGUAAAGUGUGGGACGUGUCCUAUUUUGUAUGUACCUUAUGAAUAAGGAUCGGCUAACUCCGUGCCAGCAGCCGCGGUAAUACGGAGGAUCCGAGCGUUAUCCGGAUUUAUUGGGUUUAAAGGGGGCGUAGGCGGGCUUUUACUGUAUCGGUGAAAGUAUGUGGCUCAACCAUAGAAUUGCCGUUGAAACUGGUGGGCUUGAGUAUGUUUGAGGCAGGCGGAAUGCGUGGGGUAGCGGGGAAAUGCUUA